This 3981-nucleotide long non-coding RNA is filed under the name Salmo salar (Atlantic salmon). RNAcentral's name for it is "lncRNA (ENSSSAG00000112802.1)". The record is from RNAcentral. Lineage: Eukaryota; Metazoa; Chordata; Actinopteri; Salmoniformes; Salmonidae.
UACAGCUCAUACAGAGACGAUGUAUUAUAGCUGUACAUUACAUAUAUCCUCUAAUAUAUAUAUAUAUAUAUAUAUAUAUAUAUAUAUAUAUAUAUAUAUAUAUAUAUACCCUGUCAGUAGCUGCCCUGUCCUCACUGUACUGUCUGAGCCAGUGGUGUAGUGGAGGGUCAACACAUGUAGAUGCCAUUCACCUUUUCUUUACUAUUGUGGGAAAAUGCAUUGAAAUACAGAGAUUGAGUGUUACCUUAUUCACUGGAAUGGUGUGGACCGGGGUGAGAUUCAGUAGGGUUGAAGUCAACUCUGGUUUCAACUAGACCGGGGUGAGAUUCAGUAGGGUUGAAGUCAACUCUGGUUUCAACUGGACCGGGGUGAGAUUCAGUAGGGUUGAAGUCAACUCUGGUUUCAACUGGACCGGGGGGAGAUUCAGUAGGGUUGAAGUCAACUCUGGUUUCAGUUCAGACAAUUUGAAAUUCUAUUUGUCAAUAAUCCGAAUCCACAUAGAAAAAUAAUUUGUCUUAUUUCAAUACAAUCAUUGAAAUUCUGAUUCCCGAGUUGAGAUCAGCACUCACAUUUUCACACAAAUCUUCCAUUGACAUCAAUGUAUGAUCUACACGGAAGUCUACUUUAAGUGUGCACAGAGAUCUCAAGGACUAGGAUUCCUCCCAGAUUGACUUUCAGUUCACUUUGUGUUCCGAUUCAGACUUGAGAUAAGUAGACUUACAGUAAAUCCAUUUUUUUGUUUUACUGAAGUCCACGUUUAGUCAACUUUAUCUCAAGUCUGAAUUGUGCCCUUCCUGACCUAAUUUUGAUCUGAAAUGUGUUUUGACCUGAAACCCUGCUGUCUGUCUGUCCCCUUCAGGGCUGUCUGUCAUUCUGCUGGUCAUGUAGACAACCAGACAGUCUGGUUUAAAUCCAGAUGUUUAACAUAGCUGACAAUAGAUUUGUUUGUCUUCCUGUUUGUAUUAAGAGAUUAAAAAAUAUAACAUGGUAGAAGUUCCUCCCUCUGUGAGAUUCUCCCAAUACCCCAAAUAUAUGUAUGUGUGUGUGUGUGUGUGUGUGUGUGUGUGUGUGUGUGUGUGUGUGUGUGUGUGUGUGUGUGUGUGUGUGUGUGUGUGUGUGUGUGUGUGUGUGUGUGUGUGUGUGUGUGUGUGUCUAGUCAAAUGUAGUGCACUAUAUAGGGAAUAUGGUGCUAUUUGGGACUGAACCGAGGUGUAGUUAAGUUAGACAGUUUCUAGGUAAUGUUUUAAAGAGGAGCAGUGUGUGUAUAGGGUUACGGAAUUCCUCUAACUUUCCCAAAAUCCUGGUUGGACGAUUCCUGGAAUUACAACGGAAUACGUGAAUCGUCCAACUAGGAUUUGUUAAAUACCAUGGAACUUUGAGAAAGUUAACGGAGUUCUGCAACGCUACUAGGUGUCUAGAUAACAUCUUUAAACAGGAGGGUGUAUUGAGGUAAUACUGAAUGUAGUGUUGAUAGCACCAGUUAACUGACCAGUCUGAUUUUAGAAGAAACAACUCAGUCUGAACACGGAUCCUAAAUUGAGAUGUAUUCUCAUCAAUAGCAGCAUUAGAGCCACAUUUUUAUUGUGCAAAAUGUACUGUAAAACUUGUUAUAAUGUGGAAGUUGGAUUUCAUUUAAAACUUUUCUUCAACAAUGUGUAACGAGAGGUAUAUUAAUGCAUCACUCAGUUUACUAAACUCUAGUUAGGCAAUCGCCUCUAUUUUAACGCAUAUUGUUGAAGAAAAGCUUCAAAUUAAAUCAAACUGCGAGAUUAUAAUGAGGUUUAUGGUACUUUUGCGCAAUAUUUUUGCAAAAUAGGAACCCUUAAUCAGGGUCUGGGAACCUUCCCCUGUUGAUGAAAUGGAACAGAGUGGGUCUCGAAUAAGGUGCCAUUUUGGAUCGAGACACUAUUGUUCAACUGAAAAUAUUAUUUGGUCAGGAGGUGUUUCAAAAAAAUGUUUUAUUGUGCUUGACAGCCUUGGUCACAUGCAGGUCACGUUUGUGUCUUAAGAGGCAUGUGUGUCCCAAAUGGCACUCUAUUCUCUACGUAGUGCACUACUAUAGACCUUAACCACAGAGGGUUAGCCAUUCAGGGCUAUGGUUAAAAGUAGUACACUACUAUAGACCUUAACCACAGAGGGUUAGCAAUUCAGGACUCUGGUUAAAAGUAGUGCACUAUAUAGGGAAUAGGGUUCCAUUUGGGUUGUAGUUCAUCUGGUUGUAGGUAGUGUAAAUACAAAAUAUAUAGUGUCCUUUUUUUCCACAGCAGAAGAAUGGAUGGUUUUUAAACUAUUGUCUGUGAUUGCAUCUUGAGCUGGUUUUCUAUUUAAUAUAUAUAUAUGUUUGUGCUUAUUUCUUUCUGUUGAUUUGUUGUCUUCUAUGUGGACAGGGACAGGAAAGAUCCCUUUUAUUUGGUUUGUUAAGUAAGUCUUUUCACUACAUUGUCUUGCCUUGAGUUUUUCAAUAAGUUUGGUUUUUCAAUAAGGGACAACCUUGUAUCGUUCUAGCUGAUUUGACUAGAACUUCAAAUUGAUCCUUUUCUCCGUUGUGAAUGAGAAACCACUUUUUCAAGUUCACCUGCAGCCUUGGUUCCAAUACACCUUUAUCCAGACCAAAUAUAACCGUUCAGAUGCGGACUACUAGACAUGAUGACGCAGAAUACACAUUACAUGUAUCCAGUAGCACGUUCAUGUUAAUAUUCUGUGUUACAGAAAUGAAUCACUUUUCUAUCAUGUAGAGGUUACCAGGGUUGGGGUCAAAUCACUUUUUAAAUUCCAGUCAGUUGAGGAUGUACACUGACAUUCCAGUUCCAAUUGUCUUCAAUGCAUUUCAAUAAAGAACAUUUGGAGUUUGGUUUACUUAGUGAAUUGAAAUAGAGCUCCACCCUGAUAGCUAUAUAUAUUGCUGUGUAUACUGAUAGGUGUACUACGCUGUACAACCCUUUCCCCAACCAACGGUAAAACUGUUGUGGCGCCAUCUGGUGUUUAAUGGAAGUAGUGCAGUCUAAUGUCCCCCUUCACGUCUUCACACACCUGGGUCGUGUUCAUUAGUAGCACACCUUAGCAAAACGCUUUACAACAGAAAAUGAGUGUUUCUUAUUAGACAUGUUCAGGUCGUCCCUCCUCGUUUCAGCCUGUUUGCUUCCGUUUGAUUCCUAGUGAAUAUGACCCUGUCCUGUGGUGUAUUCAUUAUGUUUGAUUCCUAAUGAAUAUGACCCUGUCCUGUGGUGUAUUCAUUAUGUUUGAUUCCUAAUGAAUAUGACCCUGUCCUGUGGUGUAUUCAUUAUGUUUGAUUCCUAAUGAAUAUGACCCUGUCCUGUGGUGUAUUCAUUCUGUUUGAUUCCUAAUGAAUAUGACCCUGUCCUGUGGUGUAUUCAUUAUGUUUGAUUCCUAGUGAAUAUGACCCUGUCCUGUGGUGUAUUCAUUAUGUUUGAUUCCUAAUGAAUAUGACCCUGUCCUGUGGUGUAUUCAUUAUGUUUGAUUCCUAAUGAAUAUGACCCUGUCCUGUGGUGUAUUCAUUAUGUUUGAUUCCUAGUGAAUAUGACCCUGUCCUGUGGUAUAUUAAUUUGUGCACACUAGGAAAACGUAGCAAAGUGUUUUGCAACAGAAAAUGCUUUGUAAUGAAAUUGAGUGUUUCCUACUGGAUAAGUUCAGGUAGUCCUUCACUGUUUGCUUCUGUUUGGUGCCUAAUGAAUACAACCAUGUCCUGUUUCCUGCAUCUGGUUUAGUUUGAAUACAACCGUGUCCUGUUUCCUGCAUCUGGUUUAGUUUGAAUACAACCGUGUCCUGUUUCCUGCAUCUGGUUUAGUUUGAAUACAACCGUGUCCUGUUUCCUGCAUCUGGUUUAGUUUGAAUACAACCGUGUCCUGUUUCCUGCAUCUGGUUUAGAUUGAAUACAACCGUGUCCUGUUUCCUGCAUCUGGUUUAGUUUGAAUACAACCGUGUCCUGUUUCCUGCAUCUGGUUUAGAUUGAAUACAACCGUG